UUUUUUUUUUUUUUUUUUUUUGUCUCUUUUAGGGCCACACCAGAGGCAUUUGGAGGUUCCCAGGCUAGGGGUCUAAAUGGAUCACUAGCCGCUGGCCUACACCACAGCCACAGCAAUGCCAGAUCCGAGCCAUGUCUGUGACUUCCACCACAGCUCAUGGCAACACUGGAUACUUAACCCACUGAGCAAGGCCAGGGAUCGAACCCACAACCUCACAGUUCCUAGUCAGUUUUGUUAACCACUGAGCCAAAAUGGGAACUCCAGGGGAAAAAAAUCAUCAUGAACGAUCUUGGUCAGAGGGCAGUUCUCAGCUUCUGCCUCUCAUUAUGAAACUCCUAAACCAGAUAAUUCUUCUACCCACUUCUUAGUAGGGCUCUAAGCUGGCAAACAAUCUAAGGUCUGCCAAUUAGACACCUACUUCCAGGAUUUUGAAUUGUGACUGAAUGAUAGAAGGGGCAGUGUGAGGGAAAUGACAGGAUGUCUUUGUGGAAGCAUCAGCUGCAGUGGAACCUUGACAGCUACACAAGAAUCCCUGGUUCCUGCUUGACUGCCAUGCUUGCUUGCCUGCCAGCCUGUGGUAAAUGCUGUAAGCUUCCAACAUCCUUGCUAUAAAUUAUAUUUACUUAAGACAAUAAGUUUCUAUUGCUGGCAACCAAGAAUUCCAGCAGAUCCACUGUGGGAUUAUCACAAUACCAACAGUAUUUAUUAACAACGAAUAAUUUAUCAAAAGUUUUCACAUUCUUCUCUCACUAGUCCUAGCAUCAAUAAGGUAGGUUAGUAUGAUAUUAUGCUAAUUGUUAAGCAGGUAAGAACAUAAAAGGCAGAGUCCUGCUACAGCACAACGGAAUCAGUGGCAUCAGGAUCAGUGGCAUUGUCUCUGGAUGUAGGUUGGGCUGUAGUGGAUGUCUCUGGGCUGGGAUGUAGGUUGAUCCCUGGCCUGGCAGUGGAUUAAGGAUCCAGCGUUGUUGCAGCUGCACCAUAGGUCAUAACUGUGGCUUGGAUCUGAUCCCUAGCCAGGGAAAUCCAUAUGCCACAGGGUAGCCAAAAAAGGAAAAAAAAAAAAAAAAAAAGAACAUAAAUGGCUGAAGAAGUGACUGGCCCAAUGUCACACAAUAAGACAACAGAAUUCAAACACAGAAAUGUGUUUGAAUCCAACAUCCAUGUUAUUCCACUAUAGCACACUGCUUCCUAAAGCAAUGAGUCACUAAAGACAUUACUAAAAGAGGUUCUAAAGAAGACACAAAACCAUUUUAAAAUGAUUUUUCACAAUGAAAGUUCAUAGGGUCAAAUUAAAUUGUGACUCAAUUUAAUUAUGAUUCAAGGAGAAAGUCUAAGAAAGAUCAUGUUUGUGCUACAAGGCCCUAGCCCACUUAGCACAGAUAAUUUAUUCAAAGGAUUAACAUUUAACCUAAACUAUGACUAUCAGAUUCUCUCUCACCAGCAUUUGAAAUUCUGAAAAAGACUUCGAGUAGUCAGAGCUGAGGUAUAAUGAAGGCAGUGUUCUAGAAAAAGGGUAGAGACCUUUGGGGCUAGCCUGGUCCCUGUAUCUCCCAAAUCUUGAUUGUCUUUAUUCUUCUCAGAAGGGAAUUUUAAUGCAAUCUUCUCUCCCUUAAGAUGUGCUUCUGGAGUUCCCAUCAUAGCACAGCAGAAACAAACUGGACUAGGAACCAUGAGGUUGCUGGUUCGAUUCCAGGCCUUGUACAGUGGGUUAAGGAUCCGGUGUUGCCAUGAGCUGUGGUGUGGGUAGCAGGCGCAGCUCCGAUCUGGCAUUGCUGUAGCUCUGGUGUAGGCUGACAGCUACCCCUAGCCUGGGAACCUCCAUAGGCCGCAAGUGUGGCCCUAAAAAGAUAAACAACAACAACAACAAAACUCUGCUUGCUAAAACCACCAAUUUUCAAAUCUACUGGACACUAUGUUUUUUGACCUCCCUAUUUAAUACUCCCUACUGCCUCUUCUUCUUUUUAACUUAAUCUUGGUUUCAAUGACAUUAUUCCUUGUCUUUCUUUUCUCCUGUUCUUUAAUCCCCAAUGCACUUUUCUUCCUAUCCUUUAAAAUGUUCAUGCUACCCAGUUUCAUCCUCUGUCCACAUAUCCUCUAGGUGUUAUCAACCACAUCUAUGACAUCAACUAUUAAAAAGUAUUUGAGGAGGGAGUUCCCAACGUGGCUCAGUAGCAACAAACCUGACUUUACUAUCCAUGAGGAUACAGGUUCAAUUCCCGGCCUUGCUCAGUGGGUUAUGGAUCCAGUGUUGCCGUGAGUUGUGGUAUAGGCUGCAGAUGAGGCUCUGAGCCUGUGUUGCUAUAGCUGUGGUGCAAGUCAGCAGCUCUAGCUCUGAAUGGACCCCUAGCCUGGGAACUUCUAUAUGCCACAAGUACAACCCCCCAAAAGGAAAAAAACCAUUUGAGGAGGAGUUCCUGCCAUGGCUCAGCAGGUUAAGAACCCAACUAGUGUAAUGAGGAUACAGGUUUGAUCCCUGGCCUUGCUCAGUAGGUUAAGGAUCCUGCGUUGCUGUGAGCUGUGGUAUAGGUUGCAGACACAGCUCGGAUUCUGCAGUGCUGUGGCGUAGACUGGCAGCUACAGCUCUGAAUCGACCCCUAGCCGGAGAACCUCCAUAUGCCACGUG
RNAcentral lists this long non-coding RNA (2623 nucleotides) under Sus scrofa (pig). RNAcentral's name for it is "lncRNA (ENSSSCG00000062760.1)". Lineage: Eukaryota; Metazoa; Chordata; Mammalia; Artiodactyla; Suidae. The record is from RNAcentral.